GAUCAACGCUGGCGGCGUGCAUGAGACAUGCAAGUCGAACGAAGGAUCGGGCUUGCUCGAUCCUUAGUGGCGGACGGCUGAGUAACGCGUAGGUGACCUACCCCGAAGUGGGGAAUAACUGCCCGAAAGGGUGGCUAAUACCGCAUGUGGUCGCACGUUCAUUCGUGCGAGUAAAGCCGCAAGGCGCUUCGGGAGGGGCCUGCGUCCGAUUAGCUCGUUGGUGGGGUAAUGGCUUACCAAGGCGACGAUCGGUAGGUGGUCUGAGAGGACGAUCACACAGACUGGGACUGAGACACGGCCCAGACUCCUACGGGAGGCAGCAGUCGGGAAUUUUGCUCAAUGGGGGAAACCCUGAAGCAGCAACGCCGCGUGAGGGAUGAAGGCCUUCGGGUUGUAAACCUCUUUUGUCAGGGACGAUGAUGACGGUACCUGGCGAAUAAGCCACGGCUAACUACGUG
This 458-nucleotide ribosomal RNA is filed under the name uncultured bacterium. RNAcentral's name for it is "partial 16S ribosomal RNA". It matches the Rfam family "Bacterial small subunit ribosomal RNA", at positions 28 to 507 of the family's 1533-position model. The record is from RNAcentral.